UCGGGAUAGCUCACCUGGUAGAGCAGAGGACUGAAAAUC
This 39-nucleotide transfer RNA is filed under the name Eperua rubiginosa. RNAcentral describes it as "partial tRNA-Phe". The record is from RNAcentral. RNAcentral also lists the same sequence under 1 other name. Lineage: Eukaryota; Viridiplantae; Streptophyta; Magnoliopsida; Fabales; Fabaceae.